UGGAAGUAACCCCGCCAUUCAGACUUCCCCAUUCCUACAGACAAAUGGAGGGGGAAAUAAGUCAGGACUUGUAACCCCACAAUAAAAAUUCACAUUAUCUCAGGUAGGCACUCACUGGGAGGUCUGGAGAGUGGAACUUUAAUUCAGUGAAACCAUUUGUUCUUGAUUUUAGGUUUCAUGAUGGAAAUGGCUUCCUGGGAUGGGGGGAUUUCCAGAACAGUGCAAUUUCUGGUACCACAGAGUAUUUCAGAAGAAAUGUUUUACCAACUCAGUAACAUGCUCCCCCAGAUCUUCCGAGUCUCUUCAACACUCACACUGACUUCCAAGCACUGAACCUUUGCAGAAAAAGGAUCCUUCGACACCCCAGGAAUGAGAGCUAUGCCAGGCUAAAGAUGCCCAGAAUGAAAACUUGCAACCCAAGUUAUAAGUCAACCCAGGAUACGUGUCUGUUCGAACAUUCCAGAAAUGCCCAUGCUGGACAACCAGGGAUCUAGUCCUGACUGUGCAUUUAUUCUAAAGUUUCUUUAUGGAAAAAGUUCUCUGUUUUCCACCACUGCCACACCCUGUCUGUGAGCGUGAGUGAAAACCUUCUCUGGGUCACACUGUCCUUCCUCUGGACAGGAUGUAGAAGCUUGUCCCACUAACAUUUCCACAGAGACAUUUGACUUUUCUAGAACGUUCAAAUCUUAACAGGUGCAAGGCUUACCAAAGCAGAUAAAUAUAAUCUCUUGACUUUAUUUGUAAAGCAAAGUUUAAAAAGCCCCCAAUUAUACCUCACCGCUGAAAUCUUUGUGAAAUCCUUUUUUUGUAGAAAUACAGGCAUAGGAUACAAAGCUUGCAUAUUCUUUUCAAUUCUCUUGUUUCCAAACCUUGCUUUGGAUGUUGCUUUCUCUAGCUGUAUAACUGAGAGUCAGAAAAAGAUUGAAUUAUUAACCCCCAUCUUUAUCUUCCCACAGGAUCUUGUACUUGCCUAUUAAUAUUGCUUCAUGAUCUAGUGAAGUUGGGUGCUGCUUGCAGCCAGAUGGGAUAUAUAAACCCACACUGGUAGUGUUGUUGUUCUCAACAGCAUUGGGGAAAUGAGAGAAUGGUGAUCAGGGCCAGAGCAAUACCACAGCGGUAGAGUGUUUGCUUUGCAAGUGACUGACCCAUGAUGGACCUAGGUUCAAUCCCUGGCAUUCCACAUGGUCCCCGAAGCCUACCAGGAUCGAUCUAUGAGAACAUAGCCAGGAGUAACCCCUGAGUGCCACUGUAUUUGGUCCAAAGCCCCCAAAUAAAUAAACUCUUACUUUAAAA
Molecule: long non-coding RNA, 1293 nt
Organism: Suncus etruscus (white-toothed pygmy shrew)
Lineage: Eukaryota; Metazoa; Chordata; Mammalia; Eulipotyphla; Soricidae
Exons: 2
Source: RefSeq, a predicted model, not a curated record